This 451-nucleotide ribosomal RNA is filed under the name uncultured bacterium. RNAcentral describes it as "partial 16S ribosomal RNA". It matches the Rfam family "Bacterial small subunit ribosomal RNA", at positions 354 to 796 of the family's 1533-position model. The record is from RNAcentral.
GUGGGGAAUAUUGGACAAUGGGGGGAACCCUGAUCCAGCCAUGCCGCGUGUGUGAAGAAGGCCUUUUGGUUGUAAAGCACUUUAAGCGAGGAGGAGGCUACCGAGAUUAAUACUCUUGGAUAGUGGACGUUACUCGCAGAAUAAGCACCGGCUAACUCUGUGCCAGCAGCCGCGGUAAUACAGAGGGUGCAAGCGUUAAUCGGAUUUACUGGGCGUAAAGCGCGCGUAGGUGGCCAAUUAAGUCAAAUGUGAAAUCCCCGAGCUUAACUUGGGAAUUGCAUUCGAUACUGGUUGGCUAGAGUAUGGGAGAGGAUGGUAGAAUUCCAGGUGUAGCGGUGAAAUGCGUAGAGAUCUGGAGGAAUACCGAUGGCGAAGGCAGCCAUCUGGCCUAAUACUGACACUGAGGUGCGAAAGCAUGGGGAGCAAACAGGAUUAGAAAACCGAGUAGUCC